This is a long non-coding RNA of Chelonia mydas (Green sea turtle), 10887 nucleotides long. RefSeq lists it as uncharacterized. The record is from RefSeq and is a predicted model, not a curated record. Lineage: Eukaryota; Metazoa; Chordata; Testudines; Cheloniidae. The transcript has 2 exons.
ACAGCAUGUAAAAUCGGAAUUAGAGCUGUUUAAAGACACAGGACACCAUUUUCCAAAAGCUGGAAAAAAAUAUAGUCUUUAUUUUUACAAGAAAGCAGCCUGAUUUCCAGUCACCCGUCGCUGCACUGUGUGUUACUGACUGUGUCUUAGGCGGGUGGAGGAGGGUACACCGCUUUCAAAGCUGAUUUUGUAAGAAAAAAGCAUGGUUUCCAGUACAUGAUGUUCUGAAUUAAAAUAAAUGUUUGCAAAGGGGCUUGGAGUUAAAUCGGUCUCCCUUUAGCCUUUCCCGUCGCCUCUGAAGCAGGCAGUCUUAAUUUUUGUUGGAGUUGAGCGUUUAGUAGCGAUGUGCUGACACAUGCCUGUAGGCGAUCGGAAAGCCCUCUUUUUCGGGAGAUUAACGCUGUCUCCCUUUUUCUCUCUCAUUCAUCCAUAUGUGUGUGCAAUGUAGAGACUCUUAUUCUUUGGAUGGGAGUCUGCAAAAUGCACUUUUUUUUUCUUUGCUGAAAGGGUGAAAACGAUCAUGUUCAAAAAGUCAAAGCAGUCGAAGCCUGUUUUUUUUUUUUUUUUGGUUCAAAACCUAAAGCGUUUUAAUCAUUAUUAUAGUGUGUCUGGGCUGGUGGGUUGGGAGGGGGUAGUUAUGCGCCAAGAUGACCCCCACCCCUCCCCGGCUGUCUUCACAGAACCUGCCUGCGAUUUGCUUUGCGGUUGAAUUCUUACAGUGGUCAUUAAUGUAUGUAACGUGUACAGUUUUUUUUUUCCUUGUGGGGAAAAUCUCCUCCUGUAUUUCAGAUCUUAGGGCGGUGGCAGUACUCCAGCAGAGCUGAGUGAGGGGAGGCUGCUUUUGCAUAAUGAAAUGACAUAGAGUGUCAUAUGAUACACUCCACUGUUCCGCCUCCCUCCUUUUUUGUGUGUUCUGCCUUCCUGGAAAUGUGCAGAGGGGAACCUUGGGUUGGUUCCCCCCCUCCCCAAGCCAGUGGUGUGAUGGGGGUGGGUGGGGAGAUCCGUGCUCUCGUGCGACCUUGAUUCCAUCUGUGGGGAAGGAUCUGGGCCAAGGCAAAGGCAGGGCUGUAGCUUUCCUCUCCCAUUUGGAAUGUAGCGUGUUGCUGCGUUCCAAACUAGUUAGUUCCAUUGGGGAGGAUGACGUGUCAAGCCCCGCCCUCUACCACGUGCGCCGGGGACACUCCCUCUGGGGCUUCUGCUGGGUUGCUUCACAGCUGCACUUUCAUUCUUACAACAGAGCGUGUGGUUGGGUGGGGGAAGGGCUUCUACCAGUCGGAGCUGGGGAGAUCAGAAGUGCAGGGGGUUAAAGAAUAUUUCCCCCCUGCCUUCCCCCCCCACUGAUCAUCUGCUAAUUAAUGUUGGUGCAGGGCUUUGAAAAUGUAAAGUGCAAAAUAUGUCUGUCAGUGCAUCUUCUGAUGCAGGAAGAACCAGUCCUCACCCCAAGGGGUUUAUAGUCUAAACUGGAUAAAAAUAGGGCAGCAAGGACUAUACUUCGGUAUUUUCCCUCCAGCUCAUCUCUCUCACACUCCCCCCCCCCCCACCAUGUGAUCUUCAUCCUGCAGAUAACAACAUUGACCCUCUUAGUGGAUUGCAGCUUGAGUGUUCUCAAACUUUGGGGAUUACAGCAAGGAAGAACGACUGGGAAGGCUUCAUUUGCUAAAUAGUCAUGAAAUCACAUUCUUAAGGGAGUCAGCUGAUCUCUGCAGAAGUGUGAAGGAGAUCUCUACCCCAUAUAUUGCAUUGAACAGUUGCUUAGGAGACCUCUGAAGCAUCAAGAAAAGGCCAGUAGGAUACCAGGCUUGAUGGAAUGAACUAUGUGGUCUGAGUUGAGAUGGCAAAUCCUGUGUUUGUAGGACUGUCAUGCCACUGUCAAAUCUUGUGCAUAAAACAUUGUCAGUUUCACAGCAGAAACAGUACUAGCUCCUUAGCAUCAUGUCUCUUUGGUUUAAUUGUGUAUCUCAGAAAGCUGGUUUCCCCUGAUCACACAUGUGGCUUCCAAAUGUUUUGUAAAGCUGGCUCAAGUAUUUCCAGAAUAUUUCGUAUCCGCAGAAGUUACACUGAUGCCUUCGCUCUUGGCUGUUCUGCAUUUUCUAUCAGACAUACGUGGCUUUUUGUUGCUCUUCCAUCCUUUCAGAUGUGAAGAAAAAACUAAACCAGGUAGGGGAUUGUUUACCGUAACUGGUAACCUGGGUGUUCGACUCCUUCAGUUCUCUAACGACCCAGGUAAACUAGGACAUUUACUGUGUUGGGGAAUUGUGUUUAUAACACAGUUUGGUCUUGCCUUCGGGGAUGAGAUAAAACCAUGCCAUUAGCCACGUUAACAUUCCUCAGCAAAACCAAACAGUUUCUAAUCCAGUUGGGAAACUACCUUGUUGUUACCCAGUGCCCCAAAAUGGUAAAUAUUUUUCUAUACGUGGGCUGUAAUGCCUUGUCUGUUGAUCAAACUGUGUUUAAAAAUGGUUCUUACUAGAAAAGUGCUUGGGUGCUAUGAUAUUUUAGUAUGCCUCAGAUACAUGCUAACAUGGUUUCAAAUAGCAGCUUAAACAGGACCUAAAUAUGUUGUUAAGUGGUAUACGACAGCACGGUGUAGAUGAGGUAGGGACCUCUGGAGUGAACGCCAGUGCAUACGGGAUCUAAAAGUUGUACCAUGAUUAAAACAGGUGCCAAGUUUCUUUGCUAAAAGAUGCGCCAGGGUCUGCAAAAGAUGGCACAAGUGGGAAACUGCCAUCUCCAUUCAGGUUGGAGCACAGACUCUGUAACACAUCAGAAUAUAAUUAAGGGAUUGUGUUUUAGAGGUGGGAACUGUGCAUGUAUUUUCUCUUUAAAUGGACAUUGUCCAGCAGCCCUCCAUGAGUUGCAUACACACACACACGCUUCAUAAAAUAAAAAUAUCUGCUUCUUUACUAGCAUUUAUUUUUGUCUUGAUCUUUGUUGUUGUAGUGUUGCUCUUAAUUGCCAGUUGCAUGCACUGGAUUGUUAUUGUAGGGUUGCUCAAGAUUGCCGCAUGCCUCGUUUGCUGAUGGGGAAGUUGAAACACAAAGAGGUGAAUGGCCUAAUUUUAGAAGUGCUGAGCUCCCCUGUUCCCAGUUGCAGGCACCCCCUGAAAAUCAGCCUGUAAGUGACACGCCCAAGAGCACACUGUAAGUUGCUGGCACACUAAGCACAGAACCCAGGCAUCUUGAUUUCACGGUCUCCCACUCUAACCACUAGCCUUGCCACCUUCUUUGUCAUUAGUCAUGCUGCAUGCAGCAGCUUGAUUCUUUCCAGAGGUUAGACUCUGUGCUUCCCCAAAGAAGAUGGUGGGGAUUUUAUUUUUUUCUUCCCUCAAAGGCUCCCAGUUCAAUUGCAUUGGAGCUCCACUGUGGUCAGGGAGGAGGUAUGUGCCAUAACGGGUGCAUGGCAGGUGGACAUAGUUCUGUUGAUAUAAACACUAGCUUGACUUGUAUGAGUCUGCACAGGCCUGCUGAAACCACAGAAUAAAUUGACAGCGGGCUGGUUUCAAGAAAAUAAUUGCCUCUCAUAUCCCUGACCUAUCUUGUUACUUUACCGUUUGAUUAAAUAGCUGUUGUGUUCACCCUUUUUCUUUUUUUAAACUUUAUGAUGAAUGCAAACCUAGUACAGCAUGUUAACGUGUACAGCUAAUCAGGACAGGUGAUCUGAUGAGCAAAAGAGUAUCUCUGCGUAGCUGGAAUUUAAACCUUCUCUCAAGCUGGUGCUGUCUUCACAAUUUGUUUGUGUUUGACACACUAAAAAGAAAGUAUUUUGGAUCAUUGUCUAAGGAGAUACGGUUGGUUAAUGGGCUGAGCAGAAAAGAAACCAGAACCUGGCUUCUUCUCCUAGCUCUGCUGCUGUCUCCUUGUGUGGCCUUGGGGAAAGUCAUUUAAAUUCCACGGGUGAUAUCCUGACCCCGUGGAAGCAAAUGCCAUAACUCCCAUUUGACUUCAAUGGUGCCAGCUUUUCACCCAGCAUGUUUGUUUCCCUAUCUGUUAAAUGGGGGUAAUAGUAUUUAUCUACCUCACAGGAUACUGUGCUGAUAAAUAUCCUACAUUUUGGAUGGCCCCUGAAGUACAUGAAAAGUUACAUAUGUACCUGGGGCCAGACUUUCCACUGGUAUGAAUCGGCGUAGCUUUGUUGAAGUCAGCAGAUCUGAGCCUUAGUAUUUUAUACAUGAGUGUUUGAUGGAUGCAUAUGCUGGGCUGCUAUGAAAAACUCAGGAAAGGAAGGAUACCAUCUGCCUCCAACCCUCCCCCACACGUUUAUAGCUUUUUCAUAACACUUUGUGCAUGGGGCUCUAUAAAUGCUUCAAACUUACCAUUCUGCAUAGACUGAAUCUUGCUGUUCAGGAUUUUGGGAUUCCCCAGAAUGAAUUGCGAGUAAGUGCCUGCAUAAUUCCAUCAGGAACAUAGGAAUUAUCUUACCAGAUCAGACAAGGAGUCCACCUAGCCCAAUAUCCCGUAUUAACAGUAGUCUGUACUAGCAACUUCAGAAGAAGGUGUAAGAAAUCUUGUGGUGGACAAUUAGGAACCACCUGUCCAUAGAGGAGGUAAUUCUUAACCUUUGGCAGAAGAUGGUUCGUUUAUGCCCUGAGGGAUAAAGGUUUAGAGUUCUUUUGUUUUUUAAGGUGUUUUCAUCCAUAUAAUGUCUAAUCUAUAUUAUUUUUAAUCUCUUGGCCUCAGUGAUAUCGUUUCAGUGAAUUGCACAGGUUAAGUGUGUGUGUAUGCAAAUUAUGAGGGACUCCUGGACAAUGCCCAUUUAAAGAGCAAAAGGCUUUCCUUUGAUAAGUUUUCAACUUGUUGCUUUUCAGUUCUGUCGAGUGUCCCCUUGUUUUUGUAUUAUAAAACAGAGUGAAUAGGCGUUCCCAGUUUACUGUCUCUGGUCCAUUUGUUAGUUUAUGUACCUUUGACACAUCCCCUGUGAUUUCUCUGUCUAAAAGAAACAAGCCCACUCUCUCUUUGUACAGAAGCCUUUCCAUUGCUCUCAUAAUCAUCACCCAUUUCUGAACCGCCUCUAUUUCUACUCUCUCCUCUUGGGGUUAAGGGGAAGGAGCAGGGUUGAACAGAGCAUUCAAGGACAGAGGUGUCAGGGGGUCAUAUAAUGGAAAAAUCUGUGACAGUCCCAGUCAAAGUGGGGCAGCUGUCUCUUCUAGUUCUUACCUAUCCAGAGAGAGAUCAUCUGAGUUUGGCUUCUGAGUCCACACUCUCUUGCAUUGACCAUACUCCUCUGCUUGUUAGGAAAGCUGCUAUAAUUCUUCUGAUGCUCUAUUUUUAUUUUUCCCUAAUACAACAUACAGGUCCCUACAAAACCAGGAAUAACCUCGAUGUGUUUCAGUGUUUGCAUUAAUCCGAGCACAAUACUAGAAUCUCUUGGCUUGCUACCCCUCCCCCCUUUCUGCUUUCUGAAUCUUCCUCGUAAAACUAGCAGAAUCUGAUUUUAAAAAAGCAAAAUAUUUAUCUGAGGGCACCCGGUGAAAGCCUACAAAGUGGCAGUAACCCCUUGGAAGGUGAUGGAUGGAUGUGCCAUGUGUUAGCGUAGUUGUGAGGUGCUCUGCAUGGCACAGACUAAAUCAUGCUAGUAGCAGCUGUGUUUAAAGCUGCUAAUGUGAUUCUUGGUUUCCCUGGACUGUAUGGGGAAGAAGUUUUGUGCAUGUCUGAGAGUCCCGUUAGACCCAUGUUAUUGACUAACUAGAGGAGGCAAUUUAUUGAGCUUUGUCUGCACUAGGAAACUGUGUGGUUUCGUGGGUAUGAAACCCACAUCCCCUCUACCACUCCCAGCACCGUUCAAAUAGGGUUGGAAAGUGUUGUCCAAAAGGGCCCAUUUGAGUUUAUCAUCCAUUACAGGAUAUCUAGGUUUUACCCCUUAGUUCAUUCUUUCAUCCAGCUAUCCAUCUAGUUUGUUAGAAAUGCCUCUCUGGAACUCUAGGUAGCCUCUAUAGUCUUUAAAUACACCUGUGAGCAUUCAUAUGGCUCAAGGUUCAGAAGUCUCUCCCAUCACUACACAACUAAAAUCAUCUUUUGUCAACGGAUUGCUACCCCAUUCAAGCCACCCUUUGUGGAAACCUGGAUAUAGAUAGGCCUUGCAGUUUUCCCCCACAGUCGGUAGAUCCAGGUUCUGACGGACCAAAUGAGGAAAGAAUUCUACAGGCCAGGACCUCCUCCUGAAAAUAUCCUGCUACUAGCUAUCCAGCUUGAAGUGUUCAAACAGGUUUGUGCACUGUUCCGGGUUAGCUUUUUUCUCUGAAAAAUAACACUGGCCUUGUUGGCCGUGGAAUCAGUGCCGGAAGCCCGCUUGCAACAAUACGGCAGAAUUUUAACUCUGAUCUGGAGAGAGCUCUUGUCAGCGUGGCCGUAAGCAGACCACUUAGGCUCUUAUCAAGUCAAUUCCAUGAGGAACAGGCAAGUUUUCAGCUUUCCUGAGCCGCUGAUGGAAGAUGCCACGGAGGUAAAGAGUUGCAGUGAUGCUAUUAAUUGUGCCACAAGAGGACACGGCCCUGUUUUGCUAAGCAGAUGCCUGGGCGCACCACCCAGUGUGACACCUGUUCCCUCUUUGAUCCCGUUUAUUAGAAAUGACUGUGAAAAAACCCUUGCAUGAAGAUGAAUAUUGAUGUUCUUGUGAACUAGGAGACAGCCUGGAUGCUUGUUGCACCAUGGGGAGCCCUUGAUAUCAAAGAAGCUGUGAAGGCCGGUGACUCCAAUGCUUGGGUGCUGUCCCUUGAUAAGUAGACGUCUUUACAUUCUUAGCUGCUUCUCGUUUGCAAAUAUGAGAGUGGAAAUUUCAAACGCACUCCAUGUGCUCCCAUUGACUUUAGUGCGAAUAGAAUUAGCCCAGUGCUAACUGCUUUUGCAAAUCCCACUCUUGCAGCCUUUUGACCAGUAAGCUGUGAUGAACUGUACUUCUGUAACUGGAAUCUAAUAAACCUGGUAUUGCAUGCUCUGUACUUAGUGUUGCAUAAAAUAGCAUUUAAAUAUACCAUUUAAAGAGACAGAUGGUUAAUACACAGUUCCAGCGCUGCCAUGACUCAGUGUGACUUUGAGUAAGUCACUUAACCAGCCUGUGGCUUACUGUCCAGAAUCUCUAAAACUGAAAUAUUAAUUCACCUACCUGCCAGAAGCAUCAUGAGGCUUAAUUCAUCUACAUAUCUGAGAUCCUUGGCUGGAAGUGGCGAGAGACGUGCUAAGGAUUUUUGUUAUAACAAGUCAUUUUCUUAUUUUCUUUUGAAAUAAGUUUUAUUAAAGUAAGCACAGAUUUACAGUUAACAUUUGACCUGCAUAUUUAAAUAGUUUGUAGUUCCAUUGGGUUUCUACAGGCUUUCUGAUAGAUCUCAAGCCAUCCCAAUUUGCAAUUCACAGUCUCUCAUGUGAGUGUUUGUUUAGAGAACAUGGGACUGGAUUCCAUGAAAAGUCCCAUCUUGCUGCGGGGUCUUGCAUGGAAGCCAUUCAGCUGACAAAUAGCUUCUUAUAAGAAUAAACUGGUUUUCUGGGUAUUCCUUCAAAAAAAGCAGCUGAUGCCCAAUAGAAAAAAAACUGAAAAAAACAUCCUAUUUAGAAACGACUAAGGGCCUAUCAUAUGAUGCAGUGCAGGCAGUAGUAAAUCACGUGCCGUUUGUGGUUGUUCUGUCUGCUGAAGCCAUAGUUUUACAUUUUCGCAUCUGGAUUCUGUAUACCGUUGUACCUUCCGCCGAUUUCAGUCGGCCAGAUGGUCCCUUGGUGCGCUCCAGGGAAAGGGGCUCGGUUAUUCUACAGCCUUACCCUUUGAAGGCAGGGGCAUUAGACCUUUUGUGUAAAUUGUGUCAUGACGGCUAACGGGGAAAAAAUAAACCCUGAUCUUUCCUUUUGGCUUCUUUUUCCUCUGAGUGGUUUUUCUCUUGGCAAGUAGGCACUAACAUGUAAAUAACACAAAAAAACACCCCACCCCAACCCAAAAUGGGAGCGUAACAGACAAAGCUCUAGAUCUGCUGCUUUGGGAAACUGCCAGCAUUGGAGACCUGAUGGCACAAGGGCCUGAAGCAGAUCAUCAGAAGCCAUUUUGAGAGAGAAAGGGCUGCAAAUAUAAGUGUACUUAAGGAUGAGUUUUGAAGCCAGGUGUGAUGUUGUAACUUGAGUUCCUUCCAACUGUGCCUGGCCAGGAACCUCUCAUGUUAUCUGCGGGCCAGCGGCAUCUCAUUUGUCCAAGCCUCUUGUGUUAGACACCCCUGCUAAGCUUGAAGGGCAUCUCUUUAUUACCUGAAGACCAGCUUUGGCUCUGUCACUCUGGGGGUUCACAUAACACCACUCUGAGGGUCUUAUUUAGAAAUCUCCCCUCCCAGGCUGAGGUAAGAUCUCCCUAACAGAGUCCUUGGGAGAAUAAGGUUAAACGAUUUUCCCUUCUACCUGUGUUGAAUUGAGUUCCCACCCCAUCCUUGGUUUUGAAUUUAAGGGCCCUAUAUCCAGUCAGGAAUGAGAUUCUAUGUCAGCUGACUGUGUGCAUCCUAAAACCCUAGAAACUGAAGCUGGAAGUUUCGUAGAACUUUGUCUGAUCUCUUUUGAGAUGUCAAAUCCUUUGAAGUGUUCUAUUUUUUUCCCCACUCAGCAAUGCAUAGGGACAAUUAGAUCCAGCUCUUGACCACCUGGACUUGAAUUAGGGUUUUAGGAGUAGAUUGGUGAUUGUGGUGAGGGGAGGUAUGCCCUGCCCAACAAGCUGUCCAUCCCCCAUAAAGUAAGGUAAAGUAAGUGUGCCCCUUCCUCUCACUUAGCAGCUUAUAGGAUCUUGCAGUCAUUUCCUUCUCUGUUCAUUUAGGUUGGGUUAUGAGUGUUGCUUAGUUUUCCGAGAGGGUUUCAAAUAAACAUGUCAUAGUGAAACCUCCAAUAGCCUCUCUUAGUUGAUGCUGCAGAAGGCCUUUCUUCGUAAAGACUGAUUUGAUUUGCUUACACAGAUAUGCUCAUAUUUCUUCUGACUGGGGAAACAGGGACUCAAGCUUUUUGGCGGUAGUAGUGCCUGGUGACUAAUCUUCUUCACCUGAAUUGUAAUAGCAAACAGUACUUCAGUAGAAAGUUAGAAAGGAUGGCUUUGUGGGGUGGGCAUCAGCUAGGCAUACCUACCCUUCCUAGAACCACACUUUCAAAUCCCAGCAGGUUUGACUUCGUCCUUUAGAGUGUGGUAGUGUCCGAGCACAGGACUGGGAGCCAGGAUCACCUGAGUUCUAGUCCUUGCUCUGCUGCCGACUCCCUCCAUGGCUUUGGGCAAAUGGCUUAUCGUUGGCUGCCUUUCCCACAGCUGAAGCGUCACUGACUCCCACUUCGAAAUCCUCUGGGGUUCAGCUGCUGCGGUGGAAAAUAGCUGCUUCCUGGCUCUGUCCCUUUCUGUUCCCCAGAAAUACACCACAGGGCUUCAGCAAAAGGGUUUCUGAAGGGCUCCAGGGUGGGAGACGAUAUCAUGGAUUGAUAAUAAAUCAAAGCCCUGUCUCUUCUGGACUGACUUUAAAGAUACCAGAGUACAUUCGUAAGAGUGGUAAUUUGUCUCAGGUCCCUUUUGCCAGUAUUUCAGCUUUCCACCACUUUGGCAGACAGUGUCACACCUUAGAGGUGGAUGCAUUUCAGUGGCAAUUUGCAUACAAACAACUAGUGAAACAUGGUACCAUCCUUUGUGAUGAAAGACUAUCUUGGAAAUACUGAGAUAUUGACUGUGAUUUAUUUUCACUUGAAUAAUACAGUAUCAGUAGCCACAUCUCCAUGUGGAAUGAGAACAGAGCAUCUUGCUAGCAGCCUGGAAUUUGAGUGAAGUAUUUGGAUCAGCAACAGCUGGGGAAACAAUGAUGGAGAAGAAACAGCUGGUACUUUUCCUGUGGGCACAUUUUUGCUGUGUUAAUGAAGGCCCAGCCCAACACUGGAGAUAUCUGUCAAACCACAUCAUACUAGAAAGAUGUUGGUAAGGGUUCGGAGAAGAGCCAUGAGAAUGAUUAAAGGAUUAGAAAAUAUUCCUAAGAGUGGUAGACUCAAGGAGCUCAAUCUAGUUAGCUACAAAGAGAAGGUUAAGGGGUGACUUGAUCACAGUCUCUAAGUACCUGCGUGGGGAUCAGAUAUUUGAUAAUGGGCUCUUCAGUCUAGCAGAAAAGGUAGAACAUGAUGAAAUAUCUAGAAGUUGAAGGUAGACAAAUUCAAACUGGAAAUAGGAAAUAAGGCAUACAUUUUUAACAGUGAGAGUAAUUAACCAUUGGAACAAUUUACCAAGGUCAUGGUAUAUUCUCCAUCACUAACAAUUUUUAAAUCAAGAGUGGUUAUUUUUCUAAAAUGUAUGCUCUAGAAAUUAUUGGGGGAAGUUUGUGGCUUGUAUUAUACCGGAGGUCAGUCUAGAUCACAAUAGUUCCUUCUGGUCUUGGAAUCUGUGACUCUAUGACUGCAGAGACAAAGAAUAGACGAUAGAAAGCAGAUGGGGGGGAAGGCGUUUGCAUCUCUUAUAGAGGAAGGAGUGAAGAGUGCGAGCCCCAGAGCCAGGAGAGUAUAACCCCUGGCAUUCAAGGUUUGCCUAAAGUGAGGCAGAUGCCAAGUGCAGCUGGUCAGCACUCACCCUCAUGCUAUGCAUGUGGCGGACGAGCUAGUGCCGAGUGCAUGUGUGCUGUGUGGAGAAUGUAGUUUGUGAGGAUUGUGCCUGUAUGUCAUAAUUCUGCAUAAAAACGGUCACGGGUGAAAGGCCCAUAGGAAAGUUUAAAGGCAAAUUGAACCAUAAGGUGUGUAGUUUUAUCCCCAUGUGUCUUGCGCCUGUCCUUUGCUUAUUGAAAGGUCUCUUCCAUUCGAACCAGUGCCUCCAGCCAAGACCAGAUUUAGUAUUUUGCUCUGAUAUAAUGAAGGGUUUUUUUUUUUGAGACAGCAUCCUCCUCAAUCUCUCAUUGCUCAGAAAUUCCCCCCACCUCCUCCC